ACUCCUCGGCUGUGCAGCAGGCCCGAGGACUGGAUGUCAGCAGAAUGGAGGCCGACAUUAGAUGGUUUGAAAGGAUGACUCCAUGUUUUGAACAUCAAAUACUAUACUGGUUUGGAGAAAAUCCAGAGACAUGAGGCAGUCGGGUGGUGCUGAAAGAGGUGCACUUCAGUUGCAUAGACCUUUCUACAACACCAGAGCAGAUGGUGCUCACAUCCGUUGAUCUGGUUCAGAAGAUUGGAUCAUUACAGGAACGGGAAUGUCCGGCAGUACAAAAGGCAACAUGAAGACAUGAAACCUUGCUGUCAAGAACCAUCACAUCCCUGGUGAGAGCAGUUGGUAUCAUGGUGGUCUGGAGCACAAGAUGUCGCACUAGCAUGGUGAUGCCUCCUCACUUGGCGGCUGAUUUAGAAGGGAAGAUACAAGAUGAACUGAGGAAGGAGCUGAUCUCAGACACUGAUCUUGGAUGCAGAGGUGAAGCCUGGCCUUGAAGCACUUCAAGUGAUUUGCUGUUUGGAUGGAGACCUGAGGGCCUGUGGACAACCAACAGUGUCAAUAUUGUACAACAUUGUCAAUAAAUACUGAAAAGAAA
Morone saxatilis (striped sea-bass) is the source of this 589-nucleotide long non-coding RNA. RefSeq lists it as uncharacterized. Lineage: Eukaryota; Metazoa; Chordata; Actinopteri; Moronidae. The transcript has 12 exons. The record is from RefSeq and is a predicted model, not a curated record.